GGCCCGUUAGCUCACUCAGUUGAGUGAAGCGCUAACAACGCUGAGGUCGUGGGUUUGAUUCCCGUUCGGUCCC
RNAcentral lists this transfer RNA (73 nucleotides) under Apaloderma vittatum (bar-tailed trogon). It matches the Rfam family "tRNA". From Rfam's summary of the family: Transfer RNA (tRNA) molecules are approximately 80 nucleotides in length. Their secondary structure includes four short double-helical elements and three loops (D, anti-codon, and T loops). Lineage: Eukaryota; Metazoa; Chordata; Aves; Trogoniformes; Trogonidae. The record is from Rfam by way of RNAcentral.